GGGUACUCUCAGGCCCACCAAUUGGCUGGAAGAUUCACUAUAAGGGAUGGCAACGAACAAAGGAUGAUCUUCAAAGUGAGCAGAGAAGAAUAGAACAAUUUGCAGAACUUCUUUGUUGGAAUAAGAUUUCUGAGAAGGAUGGUAUUGCUAUAUGGAGAAAGAGAAUAAACGACAAAUCCUGCCCCAUGAAACAAGAAAAUCCAAAAGUUGACAAGUGUGAGUUGGCAUAUGACAAUGAU
RNAcentral lists this unclassified non-coding RNA (239 nucleotides) under Hevea brasiliensis (rubber tree). The record is from RNAcentral. Lineage: Eukaryota; Viridiplantae; Streptophyta; Magnoliopsida; Malpighiales; Euphorbiaceae.